Non-coding RNA from Sus scrofa (pig), 6303 nucleotides. The record is from RefSeq and is a predicted model, not a curated record. NCBI's taxonomy places the organism in Eukaryota, Metazoa, Chordata, Mammalia, Artiodactyla, Suidae.
CGCUGCCGGAAGUGCGGGUCUCGCUUCCGGCGACAGCUUGGGGCGUGGGGGUGUGUUGGGUUCUCCGUGCCGGGGCUGCCCGGCGCGCGGAGGGAGCGCCGAGUGAGGAGGCCUCUGGUGCGUCCCUGCCCAGCAUGGCCAAGCCGACUGGCAAAGAUUCAGGCCUGAAGGAGAAGUUCAAGAUUCUCCUGGGACUGGGCACUUCAAGGCCAAACCCCCGGUCCGCAGAGGGCAAACAGACGGAGUUUAUCAUCACGGCGGAAAUCCUGAGAGAACUGAGUGUUGAAUGUGGCCUCAACAAUCGCAUCCGGAUGAUAGGACAGAUCUGCGAGGUUGCCAGAACCAAAAAGUUUGAAGAGCAUGCAGUGGAAGCGCUCUGGAAGGCCGUCUCAGACUUGCUGCAGCCAGAGCGGCCGCCAGAGGCCCGGCACGCAGUGCUGGCUCUGCUGAAGGCCAUCGUGCAGGGACAGGGGGACCGCUUGGGCAUCCUCAGGGCCCUCUUCUUUAAGGCCAUCAAGGAUUACCCCUCUCACGAAGACCUCCACGAGAGGCUGGAGGUUUUCAAGGCGCUCACGGACAACGGGAGGCACAUCAACUACUUGGAAGAAGACCUGGCCGAGUUUGUCCUGCAGUGGAUGGACGUCGGCCUGACCUCCGAGUUCCUUCUGGUGCUCGUGAACUUGGUGAAGUUCAACAGCUGUUACCUUGACGAGUACAUCGCAUCCAUGGUCCACAUGAUCUGCCUGCUCUGCGUCCAGACCGUGUCCUCCGUGGACAUAGAGGUCUCUCUGCAGGUGCUGGACGCUGUGGUCUGCUACAACUGCCUGCCGGCGGAGAGCCUCCCCCUCUUCAUUGUCACACUUUGCCGCACCAUCAACGUCAAGGAGCUCUGCGAGCCGUGCUGGAAGCUGAUGCGUAAUCUCCUGGGCACCCACCUGGGCCACAGCGCCAUCUACCACAUGUGCCGCCUCAUGGAGGACAGGGCCUUCAUGGAAGACGCCCCGCUGCUGCGGGGAGCCGUGUUCUUUGUGGGCAUGGCUCUGUGGGGAGCCCACCGGCUCUAUUCGCUCAGGAACUCCCCGACGUCGGUGUUGCCGUCCUUCUAUGAGGCCAUGACCUGUCCGAACGAGGUGGUGUCCUACGAGAUCGUCCUGUCCAUAACCCGACUCAUCAAGAAGUACCGGCGGGAGCUCCAGGCCGUGACCUGGGACGUCCUGCUGAACAUCAUUGAACGCCUGCUCCAGCAGCUCCAGAGCCUGGACAGUCCGGAACUCACAGCCAUCGUCCACGACCUGCUGACCACAGUGGAGGAGCUGUGUGAUCAGAACGAGUUCCAUGGCUCUCAGGAGAGAUACUUCGAGCUCGUUGAGAGAUAUGCGGACCAGAGGCCUGAGUCCUCACUCCUAAAUUUAAUAACCUACAGGGCCCAGUCCAUCCAUCCGGCCAAGGAUGGCUGGAUUCACAACCUGCAGCUGCUGAUGGAGCGAUUCUUCAGGAAUGAGGCGCGCAGCGCUGUGCGGAUCAAGGUACUGGACGUCCUGUCCUUCGUGUUGCUCAUCAACAAACAGUUCUACGAGGAGGAGCUCAUCAACUCGGUGGUCAUCUCACAGCUCUCCCACAUCCCCGAGGACAGAGACCACCAGGUCCGAAAGCUUGCCACCCAGCUGCUGGUGGACCUGGCCGAAGGCUGCCACACCCACCACUUCAACAGCCUGCUGGACAUCAUUGAGAAGGUGAUUGCCCGCUCCCUCUCGCCACCCCCCGAGCUGGAGGAGAGGGACGUGGCGGCGUACUCGGCCUCCUUGGAGGACGUGAAGACAGCGGUCCUGGGGCUCCUGGUCAUCCUGCAGACCAAGCUCUACGCCCUGCCCGCCAGCCACGCCAUGCGCGUGUAUGAGACGCUCGUCAGCCACCUCCAGCUCCACUACAAGCACAGUUACACCCUGCCCAUCGCCAGCAGCAUCCGGCUGCAGGCCUUCGACUUCCUGCUGAUGCUGCGGGCCGAUUCCUUGCACCGCCUCGGGCUGCCCAACAAGGACGGGGUUGUGAGGUUCAGCCCCUACUGCCUCUGUGACUACGUGGAGCCGGAGAGAGGCUCUGAGAAGAAGGCCAGUGGUCCCCUGUCACCUCCCACCGGGCCACCUGGCCCAGUGCCCACAGGCCCCACCGUGCGGCUGGGCUCGCUGCCCUACUCCCUGCUCUUCCGUGUCCUUCUGCAGUGUUUGAAGCAGGAGACGGACUGGAAGGUGCUCCGGCUGGUGCUCAGCAAGCUGCCCGAGUCGCUCCGCUACAAGGUCCUCACCUUCACGUCGCCCUGCAGCGUGGACCAGCUGUCGGCCGCCCUCUGCUCCAUGCUUUCAGGCCCCAAGACCCUUGAGCGGCUCCGAGGCACCCCGGAAGGGUUUUCCAGAACCGACCUGCAUCUCGCUGUGGUUCCCGUGCUGACGGCAUUAAUCUCGUACCAUAACUACUUGGACAAAACCAGACAGCGGGAGAUGGUGUACUGCCUGGAGCAAGGCCUCAUCUACCGCUGCGCCAGCCAGUGUGUGGUGGCGCUGGCCGUCUGCAGCGUGGAGAUGCCGGAUGUCAUCAUCAAGGCGCUGCCUGUCCUGGUGGUGAAGCUCACGCACAUCUCGGCCACGGCCAGCAUGGCCGUCCCGCUCCUCGAGUUCCUGUCCACUCUGGCCAGGCUGCCUCACCUCUACCGGAACUUUGCGGCGGAGCAGUAUGCCAGCGUGUUCGCCAUCUCCCUGCCGUACACCAACCCCUCCAAGUUCAAUCAGUACAUUGUGUGCCUGGCCCAUCACGUCAUAGCCAUGUGGUUCAUUAGGUGCCGCCUGCCCUUCCGGAAAGAUUUUGUUCCUUACAUCACGAAGGGCCUGCGCUCCAACGUUCUCCUGUCUUUUGAUGACACCCCCGAGAAGGACAGCUUUAGAGCUCGGAGUACCAGUCUCAACGAGAGGCCCAAGAGUUUGAGGAUAGCCAGGCCCCCCAAACAAGGCUUGAAUAACUCCCCACCCGUGAAAGAAUUCAAGGAGAGCCUUGCAGCCGAUGCCUUCCGGUGCCGCAGCAUCAGUGUUUCAGAGCACGCGGUCCGCAGCAGGAUCCAGACAUCGCUCACGAGCGCCAGCUUGGGGUCUGCAGAUGAGAACUCGAUGGCCCAGGCUGACGACAGCCUGAAGAACCUGCACCUGGAGCUCACAGAAACCUGUCUAGACAUGAUGGCCAGAUACGUGUUCUCCAACUUCACGGCCGUGCCCAAGAGGUCUCCCGUCGGGGAGUUCCUUCUGGCUGGUGGCAGGACCAAAACCUGGCUGGUUGGGAACAAGCUGGUCACCGUGACGACAAGCGUGGGGACCGGGACGCGGUCACUCCUGGGCUUGGACUCAGGAGAGCUGCAGGGCGGCCCAGAGUUGAGCUCCGACCCCGGUGUGCACGUGAGACAGAUAAAGGAGGCGCCGGCCAAGCUGGAGUCCCAGGCUGGGCAGCAGGUGUGCCGCGGGGCCCGGGACCGGGUCCGCUCCAUGUCUGGGGGCCACGGCCUUCGUGUUGGCACCUUGGAUGCUCCGGCCUCACACUUCCCAGGCAGCCCCUCUUCCCCGGGCUCAGAGACUGCCCCAGCCGGCAAGCCCGAAAAGGCCUCGGCUGGCUCCCAGCUCCCUGCGCAGAAGGAGAAAACAAACCUGGCGGCCUACGUCCCCCUGUUGACCCAGGGCUGGGCGGAGAUCUUGGUCCGAAGACCCACAGGGAACACCAGCUGGCUGAUGAGCCUGGAGAACCCGCUCAGCCCCUUCUCCUCGGACAUCAACAACAUGCCCCUGCAGGAGCUGUCCAAUGCCCUCAUGGCCGCCGAGCGCUUCAAGGAGCGCCGGGAUACGGCGCUGUACAAGUCCCUGUCGGUGCCGGCGGCCGGCUCGGCAAAGCCUCCCCCGCCCCCGCGCUCUAACACAGUGGCCUCUUUCUCCUCCCUGUGCCAGUCCCGCUGCCAAGGAAAGCUGCACAGGAGCAUUUCCUGGGCAGACUCUGCGGUGGUUCUGGAGGAGGGAGGUCCAGGCGAGCCUGGUUGGCCAGGGGGGGUCCCCGAGUUGGAAGACUUGGAGGCGCCGCUAGACACAGGUCAGCGCUGCUGCCGCGCCGAAGCUUUCAGCAGGUCGUCCUCAACCUCCAGCCAGGAGGAGAAGCUGUUCCACGCAGAGGACUUGGCAGCCGGGGGCAUCCCCAUCGAGCGGGCCGUCUCCUCGGAGGGCUCCCGGUCCUCUGUGGACCUCACCUUCCAGCCCUCACAGCCCCUGAGCAAGUCCAGCUCAUCGCCUGAACUGCAGACCCUGCAGGAUGUCCUUGGGGACCUUGGGGACAAGGCCGAUGCCGGCCGACUGAGCCCUGAGGCCAAGGCCCGGUCGCAGUCAGGGAUCCUGGAUGGGGAAGGCGCUGCCUGGCCAGCUCCGGGCGAAGAGGGCCGGGGCCGGGGUCCUUCCCAGACCGAGGGCCCCUUACCUUCCAGCUGCCCCCGCUCCCCCAGUGGCCUGCGGCCUCGAGGCUACACCAUCUCUGAUUCGGCCCCGUCGCGCAGGGGCAAGCGGGUGGAGAGGGAUGCCUUCAAGGGCAGAGCCAGGACCCCCAACACGGAGAAGGUGCCGGGCAUCAACCCCAGCUUCGUGUUCCUGCAGCUCUACCACUCCCCUUUCUUCGGUGACGAGUCCAACAAGCCCAUCCUUCUGCCCAGCGAGUCUUUUGAGCGGUCGGUGCAGCUCCUCGACCAGAUCCCGUCAUAUGACACGCACAAGAUCGCCGUCCUGUACGUGGGAGAAGGCCAGAGCAACAGUGAGCUUGCCAUCCUGUCCAACGAGCACGGCUCCUACAGGUACACGGAGUUCCUGACGGGGCUGGGCAAGCUCAUCGAGCUCAAGGACUGCCAGCCGGACAAGGUGUACCUGGGUGGCUUGGACGUGUGUGGCGAGGACGGCCAGUUCACCUACUGCUGGCACGACGACAUCAUGCAAGCCGUCUUCCACAUCGCCACCCUGAUGCCCACCAAGGACGUGGACAAGCACCGCUGUGACAAGAAGCGCCACCUGGGCAAUGAUUUCGUGUCCAUCGUCUACAACGACUCGGGCGAGGACUUCAAGCUGGGCACCAUCAAAGGUGAUUCCUGCUCUUGUCCGGUCAGGGCCAGUUCAACUUUGUCCACGUGAUCAUCACGCCCCUGGACUACGAGUGCAACCUGGUGUCGCUGCAGUGCAGGAAAGACAUGGAGGGCCUCGUGGACACCAGUGUGGCCAAGAUUGUGUCUGACCGAAACCUGCCCUUCGUGGCCCGCCAGAUGGCCCUGCAUGCGAACAUGGCCUCGCAGGUGCACCAUAGCCGAUCCAACCCCACGGACAUCUACCCCUCCAAGUGGAUCGCCAGGCUCCGCCACAUCAAGCGGCUGCGCCAACGGAUCCGAGAGGAGGCCCACUACUCGAACGCCAGCCUGCCCCAGAUGCAGACGCACCCUCCCGGCCACGCCAAGGCCCCGGCGCAGGCCCCAGCGGAGCCCACGCCCACCUACGAGACGGGCCAGCGCAAGCGUCUCAUCUCCUCCGUGGACGACUUCACCGAGUUUGUGUGAGGCUGCGCGCGGGCCGCUGCCUGGUCCCCUUGGAGCCUGUCGGAGACGCUGAGCACACGCCCCGGCAGCAGCCCUCCCUGCCCGCAAGGAGCUGGGGUGGUUUUCAUUUGCGUGAAUAAAGGGCUGGUGGGGCCCCAGCCGGCACACACGACAGAGACGCGGAGGCCGUCAGUCAGCUCGUUUAUUUGACUCCGUCUGUUGGCGGGGGGGUCAAGGCUGUAGCUUGGGCCAUGCCCCUGGCGCAGGGCAGGGGCCUGUCCGGCUGCUCCUGGGGCCUCCACUCAGGAAAGCCGCCCAGGGAACUGUCCCACUCGCCUCUCCUGCUGGGAGCCAGCCCCAGGGAGCGGCCUUUCCCUCUCCCCACCCUGGGGUCCUGUGCCAGGCACGGGUGCUGCCCUAGCCCAGACCCGACACCAGCAGACCUGGGCAGGGCAGGAGGCUAAGGCCACAGCGGUGACAAGAAAGGCCUGGGGGAGGCUGUGCCCCUCCCGCAGCCCUUGGCCCAGCACCUGCCCCAGGCCCGACUUGGAUCCAAGAAGCAACUGUUGCUUCCCCAGCCCUAGGGGCAUAUAUCUGGGGAGGGAGGCCAGCUCUGCAGCCCCAGCUUCUCCUCCAGGCAGGCGACCAUGGGCACAGGCUGCUUCAGCCCUCAGGCCCCUUGGCCCUACUGAGAAAUAAAGCGACUUACAAAAAUA